AGAGAGGCAGAGGAAGAUGGUGAGCGGCGGGGGAAAAAGGAGAAGGAAAAUGAAAGCCACCGGGGGCGCGCUGUCGAUUCUGGUUUCUUUUGGCCAAGGGGCUGUGAGCGGCUGCUGGGUGAGGGGGAGAUGGCCGGCUGUCAAGAGGGAGACGAGGACGAUGGAGCUGGAACUGCGGGGGGAAAUGUGGGGGUCUGAUAUGGCCGGGGGGGGGGGGGGCGGCGGCUGCUGCCAAAAAAAAUGGAGAAGAAAGUGAUGGUGUUAGGGUUUAUUUUUGGUUUAGGGUUUUUUGUAUUUUUCUGAUGUUGUCAAAAUUGCCCCCCCUCCCUUUUAUUUGAGUUGUGGACCAGUAUUUAUAGGUAAAAUGUUGCAUGGAUCUCAAAAUUGGUCCCUCAACUUUCUUUCUUUUUUGUAAAUUUGAUUUUUCUUAAUUUUUUUGUAUUUUUUUGAAAACGAGCAAUAUCAACGUCGACUCAAUGAAGAAAAUCAAUGAUUUAAAAAUACAACGCGUUAAAAGUUGAACGCGUUCCAAAUGUCUUUGAAAAUUUAAAUUCUUUUGAGACGAUGCUAAAAAUGCUAAAAACGAUGCAAAUGUAUUAAAAACGUAUUUUUUUGGGUUUUCAAUGCUUUUCACUAUUUUUGGAUUUUUUUUGAAAAUUUAUUAAAACAUGUGUCAAAAAUUGGGUAGCAACAGAUGCCCCCUCUUUACAAUGCUUACGAAGCAAAACUCCUCAAUGUUUUGCAUAGUAAGCUUUUGUAAAGAAAAACUCUAAAUGUUUCUUUCUUUUUUCUUUCUUUUUCUUUUCCUUCUUUCUCUCUUCUUCUUUCUUUCUCUCUUUUUCAUUUUUCUUUCCCUCUUUUUUUUCUGUGAGAUCCCAUCAGGCGAUCUCCUUGAACCAAAACCAAAAUCUGCGUGGUUGGGCUAACCUGAGAUCGCGUCCGACGAUCCCCUUUAACCAGAACCAAUAUCCUGUGUGGUUGGGCUAACCUGAGAUCCCGUCCGGUGAUCCCCUUUAACCAGAACCAAUAUCUUGUGUGUGGUUGGGCUAACCUGAGAUCCCGUCCGGCGAUCCCCUUUAACCAGAACCAAUAUCCUGUAUGGUUGGGCUAACCUGAGAUCCCGUCCGGCGAUCCCCUUUAACCAGAACCAAUAUCGUGUGUGUGGUUGGGCUAACCUGAGAUCCCGUCCGGCGAUCCCCUUUAACCAGAACCAACAUGAGAUCCCAUCUGGCGACCUCAUUAAACCAAAACUAAAAAAAUGUGUGUAGCUCGGUCAACCUGAAAUCCCAUCUGGCGAUUCCCUUUAACCAAAGCUACAUGAGAUCCCAUCUGGCGACCUCAUUAAACCAAAACUAAAAAAAUGUGUGUAGCUCGGUCAACCUGAAAUCCCAUCUGGCGAUUCCCUUUAACCAAAGCUACAUGAGAUCCCAUCUGGCGACCUCAUUAAACCAAAACAAAGAAUGUGGAACAAAUGGUCUCAUUGUAAUGGGUGACGAACCCAAGAAAAAUGAUGGUCUCAUUGUAUGGGUGACGAACCCAAGAAAAAUGAUGGUCUCAUUGUAUGGGUGACCUACCCAAGAAAAAUAAUGUGGAAAACGGUCUCAUUAUGAUGGGUGACCUACCCAAAUGGAAAGAAUGUGAAGUGCGGUCUCAUUAUAAUAGGUGACCUACCCAGGUGGAAGAUAGAAAAAAUGUGAAGUGGUCUCAUUGUUAUGGGUGACCUACCAGGUGGAAGAUAAAAAAAAAAUGUGAAGUGGUCUCAUUGUUAUGGGUGACCUACCCAGGUGGAGGAUAGAAAAAAUAUGAAGCGGUCUCAUUGUAAUGGGUGACCUACCCAGAAAAAUGAUGGUCUCAUUGUAUGGGUGACUAACCCAAAGAUAGAAUGUGACUUACCUGGCAAAAAAGACUUGGCAGGAGCAGUCCUGACAGGACAAGGCUGAGAAACUUGGCACCUUCUGGUUGCAGGUUGACUUGAAGACUCCUUGAUGACGGGGUUAAUCUCCUCUUUUCUUUGAGAUUCUCCUAUUGGCAGGGUUCAUCUCAUUCUCUUCUCGUUCUAGGAUCUAAACCGAUUCUGUCAUCAUCAGCUCAAUGAUUCUUUCUUUGUCCACAAUCUUGCUGGACUUCAUUGAGGAUCUUUCUGUAACAAAUCACAAAUAUGUGCAAUGCUUUGAGGUUAGAUGACAUGCAUGUAUCCUUACCUGAUGUGAAAUAUAGGUCCCCCCCUUUGAUGAUCCAUCGUCAUAGGGUGCCUUUGUUUGCUAACCAAAGCUUUAUUUGUUCUUUCGAUGCAUUGGCUCAUGCAUGUGCUAGCCAUCCACUCAGCUGUAAGUGCAGUGCCCAUCCUGGGCUGUCCACGACGAUUACUGCUCUCGCUGUUUAUCAAGCUUGACUCUGCCCCCAAGUGUGGUGUUGCUAGAUUCAUCGUGAAGGAUUUUCUCUCCUGGAUUCUUCUAAGAAUUAUCCUCUGAUUGGUUGUGUGCAUCAUGCCAACACCCAUCAUGAUUGUCCAUCAGUCAUAAACUUGCCUCAAGCUGAAACAAUACUCUUCAAGUAAUGUUAUCACCAGUCUUCAUGGAAAUUAUCCAGUCGUCCAGACAUGCAUCUCAUAGCUUGCAGUGAAAGACUCAUCGUUGUAUGCUCAAUGUUCUUUCUCAAGGAUUUCUCUCAGCUUGUCAAAUCAGAUAGUGGAAAGAAAUGUCUUGACAUCAUCAAUGAUGUUCAUGUUAUCACCCAUAUUCAUGCGAUGAAGUGCGCCUUCGAGCUUCAAAACAAGAUGGUCCCACAGUCAGUCUUGGUGAGUGCAUCCUUCCAAUAUUCACAACUAUGCGAUAACAUCGUUCAAAAGUCAUAGCCAUGUUGGAGAUGAUAAUAUGACAUUAUCCUUCAAGUACAACAUUGUUCCGCAAUCAAUCUUGGUGGUGUGCAUCUUUUCAUAUUCGUUCGAAUGCAACUGUAUGCCCACAUCGGUCGAUAGCCAUGUUUCAAAAGAUGACUAUAUAAAGAUUUCCUUCAAGUGUAUCUUUGCUUUCCCGAUUGUUGACGGGGUUUACUAGAUCAUGGACUAUCUUUGAACAACAUUGCCCCCAAUAUGAUCUGAAUGUGCUCGUUCAUUGAUUAUCUUUCUUUGAACACCAUUGUCUUCAGUGCAUUGAUUCAUCAUUUGAUCAUCUUUCAUUGCCCCCAGUUGAUCUGAAUACUGUUUGUUUUCCUACCCAUGAUCCACUGUAUUGCCUCCAGGUGUCUCAAUUUUUCAAGGAGUAUUGAGAAGAGUUGAUGUCAUUUCAUGUCAAGGAUUUUGCAAAUUCGGUCGAUGUUCUUGUUGUUUAACAAUCUUUCUUGUUCUAGAAUCAACUCUCAUAUUUCAAAGAUCAUGUCAAUUCAAGUCUAAUUGUUGAAAUGAAAUCAAAGAGAUAUCAGUUUUGGAAAAGAUCUUUUGAAAAUCAAGCUUUUUGGUCAAAGACCCAACACACACUAUUCAAUAUAGUCCUUUGAUUGUCUUGUAUUUUGAAAACAGAAAUGACCCAUUGUAAGUUUAAAAUGACUUUUUUCAUGGUUCUUUAUGUCAGUUUUAAUCUUUGAUCUUGGGUAUAUCUUUUCACGGUCUGCAAUGAGGUGACCUUCUGUGAAUUUCAAGGAAAACAAAAGGCUCAAGUCAAAACUUGAGGAUUCAUCAAGAAAGAUUGUUUUCUUUUUUAGCACCAAUUUUAUCAGCAUGCAUAAUAACCAGUAGCUUAAUCCAUGAAGCUAUGACUCUUAUGGAAAACUCUUCAAGUUUUGAGAUCGCCAUUUAUCGGUUCAAAUUGCUUACUUGAUUAAAAAGGGCUUUUUACAGCACGUGAUGCAGGCUAUGGUUCAUGGCUUAUGAAAGAAAGGAAAAUUCAUGCUCAAAAGGUGUUUAAGGGUUUCAAAGACCUAGGAUCAAUAUCAACUAUUCAUCAACUCUCUUUCUCUUGUGGUCAUUGUAGAGAAAGUGACAUAUGACCUUGUUAAUCUCAAAGAUCAGAAUUCUCUUAGCAUAAGUCAUAAUGCAAAUCCAACUUUCUCUGAUGAAUAAUGAAUCUAAAAAUUUUGAAGACACUAAAGGCUUUAUCCUUGACACACCAAAAGACAUGAAACUUGAUUUUUUUUUUUUUGGUGUUGACUUUUGGCAUUUGUUGUGUCUUUCUUCCAUUGAAACCUCUUUUGCCCCUCUUAGAAUUGAUAGGCAUCCUCCUUCCAUUCCAACUCUUUCUUUUUUUCUUUUUUUUCUUUUUUUACAUAGCCUUCCUCGAAGAUUUCUUGGAGGCCCUCAAUCUAUGGCUUUUCUUGUUCUCCCUUUCUCAAUCAUUGGGCUUUUAUUCUAAGCCUUUCUUUUAUCAUUGAUUCUAUCAGUGUCUUCAUCCUUCCUAAUAACAUAUCUCUCAUUGCCCCCAGCGUGGGGUGUGAUCCUAGUCAGGUUUUCUUUUUGAAAGAAAAUAUUUUACCAGGCUCAAAAUGGGACUGCAAGGGAUAAUAUUUCAAGAAAUGUGAAAGGAUAACAAAGAUGGCCUUUUCUCGUUUCAAGCAAGGUCGGUUAGAACCGAUAAAUUUUGACCUCAUCCAGUGUAAUGAUUUGGACUUGUAAGAGUCAUGAUUCACGAGUCCAUAACUACUGAAUCCACUACAUGUCAUUAUGCAUACUGCUAAAAAUUUAGCUACAUUGUGGGGUUCAGUUUCAGGAGGUAUGAGUUCAAAAUUGUUUGGUCACCUCAUGUCAUUUUUAAGCAUCGAGUCAUUUAAUCAAAAUACUUUUAAUCUUCAAGAUUGAUUAAUCUUAAUCGCAUGUUGGAGCUUGAUCAAAAUAUUUUGUAAAAAAAUAACCUUUGAAAGAAACAUCUCUUGAUUUCAAAACAACAGGAAGACAAAGGAAAGACAUGCUUCGUUCAAGGAUGAGAUGUGAUCACAAAACAAAAAAUGCGACAUUGCACAACAAUAUGAUUGACAAUUCAUUGCCAUUCUUGAAUCAUCUUUUCUGGCAAUAUCUGUGUUUUGCCUAGCAAUUCCGAUCACUCGUCAUUCUGAGGAUGUUCUGGUGACAAAAUGAUCAAUGACAUCAUCUUUCACAAACUGAGCUCGAUUCUUGAAACUCUUGCAUUUGUUCAACUGAAAUGGCCGAGGACCCCACCAUGACAUCACAUCUCUUGUCUAGAUUAUACCACCUAGAAAACAGUGGUUGCAUGGGAUUUAACAGAGUCAGGCAAAAAGUCUGGAAUCUGACAGAUGCUAGUAGUCCAACUUGGGUGGCAGAAAGAUGUCAAUCUUGGCAAAGACACUUGAGUAGCUGGUGCUACAGUGAGACUUGACUAAACCAAGUAACUAUGGUUUCUCAUCUUCAGAGUCAUCUCCUGAUUCAUCUCUCAUCAUUGUUCUGGAAUUCUUGACAGAACCUUCAAUCCUUCUCAUCUUCCUAGCUAGCUUAAUUCUUUCGAUGAUCUUCACAACAUCAUGUCAUUCUUCCAAUGUUGUUGUGGUCGUUUGUGGAUUGUUGGAAACCUUCCAGUAGCUAGGUAAUCUUGGCAGCACCCGGAGACUUGCAGCAUUGCCACUGCCGACGUGUGGAAUCACACAUUGUCAAAACUGGAAGAGAACUUGAUGAAUCUAAAACUCCUUUGUCUCCUCUUUGAUUCCUCACUGAUGGUGCAGCAAACAGACACCUGUAGAGGGAGCUCUGCUCUGUUGAAGUUUCAAUCUUCUUUCUAUUUUUCAGCCGAGGUUUGUCUCUUUUCCCUUCUUUUGCAUUUUCAAGCUAACACCGAUGAGAGAAAAUUAUAGAUGAUCAGAAACUACUGCAUCCCUUCUUGGAUUCUCCACUUGCAGAUCUACAAACAGGUUUCUGCAGAGAGAGCUCUGCCACGGUGAAGUUCUAUAUUUGCUCCUGUUUUCUAGCUCAAGUCUGGCUUUUCUGCCUACUACAGUGUUUCGAUGCUGAAGCUGGUGGGGUAAAUUUUCACAUUGUAUAGAACUACUACAUCCCCUCUUGAAUUCCCCACUUGCAGAGCCAUAAACAGGUUUUUGUAGAGAGAGCUCUGCCACGUCAAAGUUCGACGACUGCUCAUGUUUUCAGACUAGGUCUGACUCUUCGGCCUACUCCAGUGUUUCAGUGCUGAAACUGAUGAGCCAAAGUUUUGUAGCAUAUGAAAGUACUGCAUCCCCUCUUGCAUUCCCCACUUGCAGAGCCACAAACAGAUUUUUGUAGAGAGAGCUCUGCUGCGUUGAAGUUUAAUGACGGCUCAUGUUUUCAGACCAAGUGUGACACUUCUGCCUACUCCAGUGUUUCGGUUCUGAAAUUGAUGGGGCAAAUUUUUUUUAUAGCAUAUGAAAAUACUACAUUCCCUCUUGCAUUCCCCACUUGCAGAGCCACAAACGAAUCUCUACAGAGAGAGCUCUGCAAUGUAGAAGUUCAGUGUCUAAUCAUGGUUUUUUUCAGUUUUUUUUUUUUUUUUUUUUUUCGGGGUUUUUUUUUUCUUGGUUUUUUUUUUUUUUUUUACAUCUUGUGCCGCUGAACUGGAAUUGAGCUAACAGUUUGGGUAACGUCAAAGAAGGCUAACACACCAUGCACAGAAGGCUAGCAGUUAUUUGGUGCUAUUGAAAGAUGUGGAGGCGAUGAACAAUUAACAGGGCAGCUGACCAAGAACAAAAGUUGUCAUUAGUUGAUGACUGAAGCCAUUGUUAUUGUUCAUGACUGAAAAUGAGAGGUGUAGCUUCAAUGGGACGUGGACGAGCAGUGUUCUCACAGAAGACUGUGCAGACAUUCCCUUCCCAUUUGAUGCUCUACACUUGUUCAGGCAGAUCUGAGCCUAGCUACUUCAUCUUUAAUGCUCUCAACUUUCCUUUGAUAAUGAGCUUCUCUCUGACAUCUUUCUUCAUUUCCAUUAUCUUGUUUUUUAAUCACGUGGAGCACAGCUUGUGUGGGGGAACCUAUCUUUUAACCCGGUACAUGCAUGAUAAAUGUAUGAACAUGUAAACUAUAUGAAGAACUCGCCCUUCGAGGGGUGACAAUAUGGUCGUAACUCUCGUAUGAUGAAACAAAAAUCUUGAUUCUUGCCCAAACUCUACAAUGAAAAUUUUCUGAGUGACGGCCAUUGGGUCACCCACAAGUCUUGAGUUCAAGAUGCUUCAAGAAGGGUUUGCCCUGAUGCAAAUAAAAAUAGCACAUACAACCUAAGGACAGGUUCUAUUCACUAUGUGAACAUGGGUAGGUUCUCUACCUGGUCUCAAAAGGGUCUCAUAUCUGCCCAGUGACGUUCUUCGUAAAGACAGUAUGGGGGCGUUGCAAGGAAUAGUUAAGGUACGUCUACCCACCAUUACCAAGCAGGCACUCAGAUAUGAGUUCGGUUUUUCACGCAUCUGAACCCUGACCAAUAGUCAUAGGGCAGAUCGCUAAUUCACCACAUAACUUAGAAGCUUGUGUGUGCUUUAAAAAAUAAAUACAGGUGAUGCAUGAAACAAUUCUAAAAAUACAUGGAUAAAACAAAAAUAAAACAAGACAAAAAUGCAAAAACUUAAACACAUCAAAUACACAAAGCUUAGUCCAAUAUUGUCAGAAACAGUACCUUCCCCAGUGGAGUCGCCAUUCUGUCGCACGUCAGAAAAAUCCGCGCGGCAUCGGCUGGCGAUUUUUCAUUUGUUGUUUGCUUGCUUUGAUUUGUUGGUUGGAGUCGCCACCUAGUAAUUAAUUGCGGGCUACUAGGAAACCGGAUGUACUGGUCUUAUCAGAGAUUCGCGGGUAAGGGACUGGUUGUGGUUAGGGAAGGUAUUAGCACUCCUAACGCACCCUACCUGAGGUAAGCUGCUUCGUGACUUUGAUGCGUUAAAAAAAUUUUAAUAAUUGUCUUUUCAUCGGAUAUUAGAAAUACAACUUACGUAUAAGUUAAUAAUUCUUGACCGUGAUCCAAUCAAAAUAUUAAAUUCUUCUUUAAUCUUUACAAUUUUAUCUUAAAUAAAAAUAAAACAUCCAUAAAACAAAUACAAACACACCUAUACACUUUCACUAUAUUUUCUUUCUCUUUUCCUUUCCUUUUCUUUUUUCUUUUUUACAUACACAAUUUUUACAUGUAAAACAAAUAACAAAAAUUCAAAAUAAAUCAAAUACAAUAAUAUCUAAAUAUACACAUAAUCUGAAAGUUACAACAAAAAACACAAAGAAAUCCUCGGGAACAGUGUUGCACAGCCUUGGUGUCGUCUGAACAGUAGUGGCGCGUUGCUCCACGCGCCUCCGCCACUGGCGGCGCGUGGGUUCACGCGCCGCCGCCGAUGAAGACCGAAAACCAGUGGAUCGGGAACGUCUUCUUCUUCCCUGUCUUCCUCCGCCGGCGGUGAGGGUCACCGUCACCUGCAACAACAAGAAAAAACGCACAAAAAAGCAGUCGGUUUUAAUUCUUUUGUUUUGCAGAUCUGCUUCUCUUCGCAUCUCGAUUUUCUUUUCGUUUCCCCUUGUUUCUCUGUUUCAAGCGGCCGGCGGUGUGACCAUAGGGCUGCUAGCCUUUGGGUUUUGUCCGGUUUGUAGCUGUCGGUGGCCGGUGAACCUGUGGACGGCGCUGUGCAGGAGGAACUGGAGGAAGACGGCGGACAGAUCCAAGUCUGUGAGUGCCGCUGUGUUCGGGCUGGUCUGGAGGUUGUGAACGGGACUCCUGCUGCUGCUGCUGUGUGGCUUGAUGGAGGGAAAUCGGAGAGCUUGAGAGAGAGGGGCUCUCGGGUGAAGAAGGAGAUGGGAUGUGAUGUGGUUGUGGCUGUUGUGUUUUGUGUGAUGUGAGGCUGUGAGCGGCGGCUGGCUGAGAGAGGGAAGAAUGGUGGUUGGCUGGAACAGAGGGCGCGGCCGAGAGGGAGAGAGGCAGAGGAAGAUGGUGAGCGGCGGGGGAAAAAGGAGAAGGAAAAUGAAAGCCACCGGGGGCGCGCUGUCGAUUCUGGUUUCUUUUGGCCAAGGGGCUGUGAGCGGCUGCUGGGUGAGGGGGAGAUGGCCGGCUGUCAAGAGGGAGACGAGGACGAUGGAGCUGGAACUGCGGGGGGAAAUGUGGGGGUCUGAUAUGGCGGGGGGGGGGCGGCGGCUGCUGCCAAAAAAAAUGGAGAAGAAAGUGAUGGUGUUAGGGUUUAUUUUUGGUUUAGGGUUUUUUGUAUUUUUCUGAUGUUGUCAAAAUUGCCCCCCCUCCCUUUUGUUUGAGUUGUGGACCAGUAUUUAUAGGUAAAAUGUUGCAUGGAUCUCAAAAUUGGUCCCUCAACUUUCUUUCUUUUUUGUAAAUU
This 9258-nucleotide long non-coding RNA is filed under the name Populus trichocarpa (black cottonwood). Its description in RNAcentral is "long non-coding RNA (PTRI_LNC001376)". The record is from RNAcentral. Lineage: Eukaryota; Viridiplantae; Streptophyta; Magnoliopsida; Malpighiales; Salicaceae.